This 256-nucleotide unclassified non-coding RNA is filed under the name fungal sp. Its description in RNAcentral is "partial internal transcribed spacer region". The stretch from base 1 to 46 matches the Rfam family "Eukaryotic small subunit ribosomal RNA", at positions 1786 to 1831 of the family's 1831-position model. Lineage: Eukaryota; Fungi. The record is from RNAcentral.
AAGUCGUAACAAGGUUUCCGUAGGUGAACCUGCGGAAGGAUCAUUAACACGUAUCCACGUAUUCACAUCCGUGAACCACGUUGAAAAAGGCGAAGCGAGAGUGGAACGACAAUCGCGAGCCGAACGUUUUACACACCUUUCACAUCAAUUUUGCUAGUUGACUUUAUUACUGUUGUAUCUUCGUUUUUCGUCGAUGCAUCCGUUUCAUUAUUUGAACGUAAAUAAACAACUCUUAGCAAUGGAUAUCUUGGUUCUC